Small nuclear RNA from Mesocricetus auratus (golden hamster), 97 nucleotides. Lineage: Eukaryota; Metazoa; Chordata; Mammalia; Rodentia; Cricetidae. The record is from Ensembl.
GUGCAGCACAUAUACUAAAAUUGGAACCAUACAGACAGGAUCAGCAUGGCCUCUUCGAAAGGAUGACACACACACUUAUGAAGUCUCCAUAAUUUAG